This 72-nucleotide small RNA is filed under the name Methylobacterium sp. 174MFSha1.1. Its description in RNAcentral is "suhB". Lineage: Bacteria; Pseudomonadati; Pseudomonadota; Alphaproteobacteria; Hyphomicrobiales; Methylobacteriaceae. The record is from RNAcentral.
GGAUUCAGCCCUGACGGGCGUUCCUCCAAGACUUCGGGCCGCCCGUGAGGGCGGCUUUUCUUUGUGCCCGGA